RNAcentral lists this ribosomal RNA (578 nucleotides) under uncultured fungus. RNAcentral describes it as "eukaryotic LSU rRNA". The stretch from base 182 to 335 matches the Rfam family "5.8S ribosomal RNA". The record is from RNAcentral. Lineage: Eukaryota; Fungi.
CUGCGGAAGGAUCAUUAUUGAAAUAACCUGGCGGGUUGUUGCUGGCUCUCUAGGGAGCAUGUGCACACCUUGUCAUCUUUAUAUCUCCACCUGUGCACCUUUUGUAGACCCCUCCAGGUCUAUGUUGCUUCAUUUACCCCCAAUGUAUGUUGAUAGAAUGUCGUGGCUAUGAAAUCUAUACAACUUUCAGCAACGGAUCUCUUGGCUCUCGCAUCGAUGAAGAACGCAGCGAAAUGCGAUAAGUAAUGUGAAUUGCAGAAUUCAGUGAAUCAUCGAAUCUUUGAACGCACCUUGCGCUCCUUGGUAUUCCGAGGAGCAUGCCUGUUUGAGUGUCAUUAAUAUAUAUCAACCAUUCUUUUUCUUGAGUGGCUUGGAUGUGGGGGGUUUGCUGGCCUUUUUCGGAAGGUUCAGCUCCUCUGAAAUGCAUUAGCAGAACUAUCUGUUCAUUCAUUGGUGUGAUAACUAUCUACGCUACUGGGUGCAAGGCAGUUCAGCUUCCUAACAGUCUUUGGACAGACAAUUCAUCAUUUUAUGUGACCUCAAAUCAGGUAGGACUACCCGCUGAACUUAAGCAUAUC